RNAcentral lists this ribosomal RNA (484 nucleotides) under uncultured bacterium. RNAcentral's name for it is "partial 16S ribosomal RNA". It matches the Rfam family "Bacterial small subunit ribosomal RNA", at positions 30 to 507 of the family's 1533-position model. The record is from RNAcentral.
AUUGAACGCUGGCGGCAGGCCUAACACAUGCAAGUCGAGCGGAUGAAGGGAGCUUGCUCCUGGAUUCAGCGGCGGUCGGGUGAGUAAUGCCUAGGAAUCUGCCUGGUAGUGGGGGAUAACGUCCGGAAACGGGCGCUAAUACCGCAUACGUCCUGAGGGAGAAAGUGGGAGAUCUUCGGACCUCACGCUAUCAGAUGAGCCUAGGUCGGAUUAGCUAGUUGGUGGGGUAAAGGCCUACCAAGGCGACGAUCCGUAACUGGUCUGAGAGGAUGAUCAGUCACACUGGAACUGAGACACGGUACAGACUCCUACGGGAGGCAGCAGUGGGGAAUAUUGGACAAUGGGCGAAAGCCUGAUCCAGCCAUGCCGCGUGUGUGAAGAAGGUCUUCGGAUUGUAAAGCACUUUAAGUUGGGAGGAAGGGCAGUAAGUUAAUACCUUGCUGUUUUGACGUUACCAACAGAAUAAGCACCGGCUAACUUCGUG